Molecule: ribosomal RNA, 621 nt
Filed under: Acinetobacter sp. PRB9
Lineage: Bacteria; Pseudomonadati; Pseudomonadota; Gammaproteobacteria; Moraxellales; Moraxellaceae
Description: bacterial SSU rRNA
Rfam family: Bacterial small subunit ribosomal RNA
Source: RNAcentral
AGCUUGCUACCGGACCUAGCGGCGGACGGGUGAGUAUAUGCUUAGGAAUCUGCCUAUUAGUGGGGGACAACAUCUCGAAAGGGAUGCUAAUACCGCAUACGUCCUACGGGAGAAAGCAGGGGAUCUUCGGACCUUGCGCUAAUAGAUGAGCCUAAGUCGGAUUAGCUAGUUGGUGGGGUAAAGGCCUACCAAGGCGACGAUCUGUAGCGGGUCUGAGAGGAUGAUCCGCCACACUGGGACUGAGACACGGCCCAGACUCCUACGGGAGGCAGCAGUGGGGAAUAUUGGACAAUGGGGGGAACCCUGAUCCAGCCAUGCCGCGUGUGUGAAGAAGGCCUUAUGGUUGUAAAGCACUUUAAGCGAGGAGGAGGCUACUUUAGUUAAUACCUAGAGAUAGUGGACGUUACUCGCAGAAUAAGCACCGGCUAACUCUGUGCCAGCAGCCGCGGUAAUACAGAGGGUGCGAGCGUUAAUCGGAUUUACUGGGCGUAAAGCGUGCGUAGGCGGCUUAUUAAGUCGGAUGUGAAAUCCCCGAGCUUAACUUGGGAAUUGCAUUCGAUACUGGUGAGCUAGAGUAUGGGAGAGGAUGGUAGAAUUCCAGGUGUAGCGGUGAAAUGCGUA